AGAGAGGAUGUCCCUGAUCCAUCCAUUCCUACCUGCCUCACCCAGCUCAUCAGGCGGACUGGUCACCAGAUGCCCGGGAACGGCUCAGCGGAUCCCUGCUGUUCCACAGAGUUCUCUGAGCAGCCAUCCAUCUUCCGCAGGAAGAAAGACAGGAAUCUCAGAGCAAAUACAACAAUGUUCAAAGUUACAGACAUUCAAGGUGCUGUUCUGAGUGGAGUACGGACAGAACAGCCUAGAAAUCUGGCACCUUCCCACCACCCUCCUUCCUUGGUGGCUCCUAAGUCACCUCUAAGAAUCUUCUCAGGUAGAAAAGGUUUCUCAAACACAACCCACAAAG
Long non-coding RNA from Eptesicus fuscus (big brown bat), 337 nucleotides. RefSeq lists it as uncharacterized. The transcript has 3 exons. Lineage: Eukaryota; Metazoa; Chordata; Mammalia; Chiroptera; Vespertilionidae. The record is from RefSeq and is a predicted model, not a curated record.